GGAAUCUUCCACAAUGGGCGAAAGCCUGAUGGAGCAACGCCGCGUGCAGGAUGAAUGCUUUCGAGUUGUAAACUGCUUUUCUUUGUGAAGAUUAUGACGGUAGCAAAGGAAUAAGGAUCGGCUAACUCCGUGCCAGCAGCCGCGGUCAUACGGAGGAUCCAAGCGUUAUCCGGAAUUACUGGGCGUAAAGAGUUGCGUAGGUGGCAUAGCAAGUAAAUAGUGAAAGAGUCUCGCUCAACGAGAUAUCCAUUAUUUAAACUGCUAAGCUAGAGAACGAGAGAGGUAGAUGGAAUUUCCAGUGUAGGAGUGAAAUCCGUAGAUAUUGGAAGGAACACCGAUGGCGUAGGCAGUCUACUGGCUCGUUUCUGACACUAAGGCACGAAAGCGUGGGGAGCA
This 396-nucleotide ribosomal RNA is filed under the name uncultured bacterium. RNAcentral describes it as "bacterial SSU rRNA". It matches the Rfam family "Bacterial small subunit ribosomal RNA", at positions 358 to 770 of the family's 1533-position model. The record is from RNAcentral.